GCGGGAGUCGCCAAGUGGUAAGGCAGUAGCCUUCCAAGCUACCAUUUCGCGGGUUCGAAUCCCGUCUCCCGCUCUA
This 76-nucleotide transfer RNA is filed under the name Anaerolinea sp. RNAcentral describes it as "tRNA-Gly". It matches the Rfam family "tRNA". From Rfam's summary of the family: Transfer RNA (tRNA) molecules are approximately 80 nucleotides in length. Their secondary structure includes four short double-helical elements and three loops (D, anti-codon, and T loops). Further hydrogen bonds mediate the characteristic L-shaped molecular structure. tRNAs have two regions of fundamental functional importance: the anti-codon, which is responsible for specific mRNA codon recognition, and the 3' end, to which the tRNAs corresponding amino acid is attached (by aminoacyl-tRNA synthetases). tRNAs cope with the degeneracy of the genetic code in two manners: having more than one tRNA (with a specific anti-codon) for a particular amino acid; and 'wobble' base-pairing, i.e. permitting non-standard base-pairing at the 3rd anti-codon position. The record is from RNAcentral. Lineage: Bacteria; Bacillati; Chloroflexota; Anaerolineae; Anaerolineales; Anaerolineaceae.